UGGUCAAGUUAUUAAGGGUGCAGGGCGGAUGCCUUGGCACUAGGAGCCGAUGAAGGACGUGAUAAGCUGCGAUAAGCUUCGGGGAGUUGCACGUAAACUUUGAUCCGAAGAUUUCCGAAUGAGGAAACUCACUUAGAGUAAUGUCUAAGUAUCAUUAAGUGAAUACAUAGCUUAAUGAGGGGAACUCAGGGAACUGAAACAUCUAAGUACCUGAAGGAAGAGAAAGAAAUUCGAUUCCGUAAGUAGCGGCGAGCGAACGCGGAUUAGCCCAAACCAAUAAAGUUUUCUUUAUUGGGGUUGCGGACA
RNAcentral lists this ribosomal RNA (306 nucleotides) under Clostridioides difficile. RNAcentral's name for it is "partial 23S ribosomal RNA". It matches the Rfam family "Bacterial large subunit ribosomal RNA", at positions 1 to 306 of the family's 2925-position model. The record is from RNAcentral. Lineage: Bacteria; Bacillati; Bacillota; Clostridia; Peptostreptococcales; Peptostreptococcaceae.